Ribosomal RNA from Nomascus leucogenys (northern white-cheeked gibbon), 104 nucleotides. NCBI's taxonomy places the organism in Eukaryota, Metazoa, Chordata, Mammalia, Primates, Hylobatidae. The record is from Ensembl.
GCCAUACCACCCUGACUGUGCCUGAUCUUGUCUGAUCUUGGAAGCUAAGCAGGGUCAGGCCUGGUUAGUACUUGGAUGGGAGGACCUUCAUGGUAAGAAGGCAC